This is a non-coding RNA of Meleagris gallopavo (turkey), 180 nucleotides long. NCBI's taxonomy places the organism in Eukaryota, Metazoa, Chordata, Aves, Galliformes, Phasianidae. The record is from RefSeq and is a predicted model, not a curated record.
CCUUUACCGAGGAGGCAGGGAGAGGGCAGAGGAAAAGGGGCUCUGGCAGCUGCUGCUCUGCAGGUCCUGUGGCUCAGAAGGCACGCACUGGUGCUGCUCCUUCUGGGCCAUGCGCGGAAACGGCUGGGAGUGCGACACCUGCGCUGGUGCGGGCACCGCCUCCCGCCCCAACUCUGAUCC